RNAcentral lists this transfer RNA (77 nucleotides) under Anaerolineae bacterium. RNAcentral's name for it is "tRNA-Arg". It matches the Rfam family "tRNA". From Rfam's summary of the family: Transfer RNA (tRNA) molecules are approximately 80 nucleotides in length. Lineage: Bacteria; Bacillati; Chloroflexota; Anaerolineae. The record is from RNAcentral. RNAcentral also lists the same sequence under 2 other names.
GCCCCUGUAGCUCAAUUGGAUAGAGCGUCGGACUUCGAAUCCGCAGGUUACAGGUUCAAAUCCUGUCGGGGGUACCA